Long non-coding RNA from Quercus robur (English oak), 661 nucleotides. RefSeq lists it as uncharacterized. Lineage: Eukaryota; Viridiplantae; Streptophyta; Magnoliopsida; Fagales; Fagaceae. The transcript has 2 exons. The record is from RefSeq and is a predicted model, not a curated record.
UCUUUGCUCUUGUGGUAUGGAAUAGGAGGUGAUGAAGAAAGUGGUAGUUUGACUUAGCUUGAGAAGAUACCUGUACAGCAGUCUCUAAUUUUGGAGUUCCUGCUUCUUGUGAAUCCUUUAUCAGAGCAACAAUCGGUAGGCAUCUACAACUUGCAGCCGUAAUCCCAGUAGGCUGAAGAUGCUCUGACAAAAAGCAUGUAGGCAUCGCAGCAAUCCCUGGCUGAGACAUUGGCCAAUUGCUCAGCUGGCCCAUCAGGAUCAUCUGGAUAUGUGGCAAACUAUGGGUCAAAUGGCCACAGCCAUGGGAAAGCUUGGAACGCUAGAGGGAUUCCUUCACCCGGUAAUUUUAUUUUCUGGUUUGAUCCCACUUAUUUGUUUUCCCAGUAUGGUUCAUGCACUCAUUGCUAGGAAGGAAAGAAGAUUAAAUGAAAUUCAAUUCCCCCUCUUUGCUUUUCUCAAAACAGGAACCGUGUUUGAAGAAUAAGGCACUACCUUUGGGUGGGUGAUAAUGGUAUUAUCAUUUCAAUAAAACCAUUUUUUAAGAACAACUUUUGUGCAAUGGUUCCUAUUAUGGUUAAGUGUAGGGUUUAGAAGUGAUUGAAUUGUAGCCAAGUACUCUACUUAAGUCUCAUCAUUGAAUCUGAUUCUAGUUCUCUUUUAA